UCGGACGGGUCGGAGGUAACGCGUGGAAAACCUGCCGUAUACUGGGGGAUAACACUUAGAAAUAGGUGCUAAUACCGCAUAAGCGCACAGCUUCGCAUGAAGCGGUGUGAAAAACUCUGGUGGUAUACGAUGGUUCCGUGUCUGAUUAGCUAGUUGGUGGGGUAAUGGCCUACCAAGGCAACGAUCAGUAGCCGGCCUGAGAGGGUGAACGGCCACAUUGGGACUGAGACACGGCCCAAACUCCUACGGGAGGCAGCAG
Molecule: ribosomal RNA, 259 nt
Filed under: uncultured bacterium
Lineage: Bacteria
Description: partial 16S ribosomal RNA
Rfam family: Bacterial small subunit ribosomal RNA
Source: RNAcentral